GAACAAAUAUUUUUAGCGAUCUUGUGUUUUAACUGAGAAAAUCUCCGUUGGCCGCUGCUAUACAUUACUGCAUGGACCUCGAAGCCGAAGAAGGCGACACUCGUCACCUCCCAAUCACAACGCCACCGGAGACUCACCGCCGUUCCAUCUGCUCCAACUGCUGCCGCCCAAAUCCAGUCUGUCUCUGUCACGCACUUCCCUCCCACCCCAUUCAAACCACCACCCAAAUCUUCAUCCUCCACCACCCUCAAGAAGCCAAACACAAACUCUCCACCACUCCAAUCCUCACCAAAUCCCUCCUUAACGCCACCUCCAUCACCGGCCGUCGUCUCCGCCGCGGCACCUCACCUCUAUUCGACCAGUUUCCCCCUGCCAUUUACCUCUUUCCAUCCACCACCUCCUCACCAGCCAUCAACAUCUCCGACCUGAAUCCGUCGGAGCUGAAACGUAACGGCGAGAACAGACUUGUGUUGAUUGCAUUCGAUGCGACGUGGAAGCAUGCGAAGGAGAUGGUGAAAGCGAGCGAGGAUUUUCUUUCGAAAUUUGCAAUUAGGGUUUGUUUGGGAAUGGAAGAUGAGAAAUCAAGUGGCGGAAGUAUUUAUGAUUCUGAAUUGAUUUUGAGGAAGGAACCUUUUGGUGGUUGUGUUAGUACUAUGGAAGCUGUGGCUAGAGCAUUGCGGGUUCUUGAACCCAAUGGGGUUGAAAUUGAGGCUAGUUUGAUUGGGAUUUUGAGGGAAUUGGUGAAGUUGCAAGCUGGUUUUUUAAAGCCUGUGAAAUCCAGGCCUAAAUUGUUGAAGAUGAAGAAGCUUAAGGAAGUGGAAAAGAAUGAGAGUUCUGAAAAUGAAAAGUUGUGAUUCAGGGUUGGUAGUAAAACAAGAGAAUGUCAAUGGGUUCUCAGUUUCUGCAUGAUGCUGGGAUUUUACAUGGAUAAAUUGAUAUGGUGAGAAUCCAAGCAUCUAGUUUCGGUUGGUUUGACUUGUACAGUGUUCCAACUACCAGAAAUUGUGUCUGACUGAAGGAACAUAACGGGAACUUCGGUAAAUUGUGUUGCAAGGCGGAUAAUUUGGCUACUGUUUUACACGUUGAGUAAAACUCUUGUACAAACAGGACUGUGUUCCUUCAACACUUGUAUGACAUUCUUCAUGAAUGGAUGGCUUUAUCACUUGUGUGGUUUUGCUGGUCCAAAUUGAUGUGAACAAAUGGACACGACAAUGAGAAAUAAGUGGAGACAUUAGAUCCUCUAUCUCUGCUAGCCUUCUUCAGAAAGGAGAAUGCAAGAAGGCCAUGUUGAGGUUGUUUAAAGCUUCCCACCACUGUCUGUCACUGACGAGAUCAUGGAUUGACAACCUGAACUUGAAGAUUAAGCCUCUCUCAUAAGACUUACGUCUUGGAAAAUCAAACACUUGGUGAAAAAUAAAGAGAAAGUCAUAUGAUAGGCCAAACCAAUUACGAACAUUGACACACCAUAUGCUGAUGUUAU
RNA transcript from Trifolium pratense (red clover), 1480 nucleotides. It is a transcript of the gene named tRNA-uridine aminocarboxypropyltransferase 2, with no coding region annotated. The record is from RefSeq and is a predicted model, not a curated record. NCBI's taxonomy places the organism in Eukaryota, Viridiplantae, Streptophyta, Magnoliopsida, Fabales, Fabaceae. The transcript is spliced from 3 exons.